CCUGGCUCAGGAUGAACGCUAGCGGCAGGCCUAAUACAUGCAAGUCGAGGGAGAUUGUUGGAUUCGUCUGACAUGAAACCGGCGCACGGGUGCGUAACACGUAUGCAACCUACCUUUAACUGGGGUAUAGCUCAGAGAAAUCUGAAUUAAUCCCCCAUAAGACUACGACAUGGCAUCAUGAUGUAGUUAAAGCUCCGGCGGUUAAGGAUGGGCAUGCGGUACAUUAGCUAGUUGGUGAGGUAAUGGCUCACCAAGGCUACGAUGUAUAGGGGGUCUGAGAGGAUGAUCCCCCACACUGGUACUGAGACACGGACCAGACUCCUACGGGAGGCAGCAGUAGGGAAUAUUGGUCAAUGGACGCAAGUCUGAACCAGCCAUGCCGCGUGAAGGAUGAAGGCCCUCUGGGUCGUAAACUUCUUUUAUUAGGGAAGAAAACAUGGGAUGCGUCCCAAACUGACGGUACUUAAUGAAUAAGGAUCGGCUAACUUCGUG
Molecule: ribosomal RNA, 492 nt
Filed under: uncultured bacterium
Lineage: Bacteria
Description: bacterial SSU rRNA
Rfam family: Bacterial small subunit ribosomal RNA
Source: RNAcentral